Molecule: long non-coding RNA, 618 nt
Filed under: Carica papaya (papaya)
Lineage: Eukaryota; Viridiplantae; Streptophyta; Magnoliopsida; Brassicales; Caricaceae
Description: long non-coding RNA (CPAP_LNC010995)
Source: RNAcentral
CAGGCAUUAUUGAUAUGCUGACAAGGUAAGUGACCAUACGAGUGAGCACAAUGCUGACAGGGUCAGUUAGAUUAGGCAGGUUGAACUGUAGGUGGAGGCAAAGCAAGGGGGAGGGCAAUUUUAGUUCGUUUAUUAGGGUGGCUACUUACUGGGUCAGGUAAUCUCCUUCUAAGUUAUUAGAGUUAUUGUUGGGUACGAAUUCAAGCAAUGCGUUGGUGCUUGGCUAAGAUGAGAUCUUCAGCCAACUAAGCAUGUUCAAGCACCUCCACAUACAAGCUAGGUCUCAGUAUCGUGGCCCAAUCAUAGAUGUCGACACGAAGGUCCUUAAGAAACUUCCUAGCUUUUUGGCUCUCGAUGGUGACCAUUAGAAGGGCAAAACAGGCUACAUAAUGGGCAAUCGUCAGACUCCCUUGGCGUAGGUCCUAAAAUUCCUCUUCUUUCUUUUCUUGGACAUAGGCAAGGAAGAAGUUAUCAAAUAAUGCAUCCAUGAAAACUUCCUAGGUUGUAGGGGUAUGCAGGACUUCUUUUCUAAGUCACCACCAGUGUUCUACUUCUCGUUUUAGCAUGAAGGCUGUAAGGGAAACUUUCUGUUCCUCGGUUAGAUAUAGGAUAGAGAAG